RNAcentral lists this long non-coding RNA (2570 nucleotides) under Olea europaea subsp. europaea. The record is from RNAcentral. Lineage: Eukaryota; Viridiplantae; Streptophyta; Magnoliopsida; Lamiales; Oleaceae.
CUCAUUCCCACUUUUCCUUAAAACAUCUCUCUUCCAUCGACACAUUUCAUUUUCCCUUUCUAUUAAAAUUUCCAAAACCAUAACCCCUCUCACCGCCUCCUCUCCUCUCUACAUUCAAUCCCCUUUGCUUUUUAAUGGUGGGAUGGGAUGGGCUAUUGGUUACUUGGCUACGAUUUGGGGUCUGGAAGAACUCGUGUUCCCAGAUGUACCGCAAGUGGGGACUCUAGGCUAUGAAGGCCAAGAAUGGGGGCAAAAUUCCAACCCACGAAAAAAUAUUCGUAGCAGCUGACCAGAUGUAAUCUUUUUUUAAUUAUUUAAUUUAUUCUCAAUUUUAGUUCUUAUUCAUUGAAAUUGAAGGAUAUCUGGAAUUUUGCCUCUUUGAAGGUAGUCCCUUUUGAGUGAUCACUAUUAUUUUUGUCUAUACGUGAAAUAAUACAUUUAAUGGAUUUUGUAAUUUUUUUUAUGUGAUUCAUUAUAAAUAGUUGUGUAUUUUAGCAAUACGAAUGGGUAGUAGAUUCUAGACAUUUUUGGUUUAUUCCGUCAAAACUCUGACAAAUGGGAACAAAAAUUGAAACUUUAGGGGCUUGAUAUGGAAAGAAGGAAGGGAAAAAAUGUUUCUUUUUAUUUAUGACCUUUUAUAUAUUAAUUAUUAUUUUUUUGUGAAAUUUAGUUGCAAUUUUUAUCGUCUGAUUUUGAUUCAAAUUCAAAGUUCGGAAUUGCUUUUUCAGUGCAUUCAGGGGAGCGAUUUUGUAGUUUGGAAUGGGUGAAAAUGGGAAGCGCUUUAGUUCUCAUCGUGAUGACGGGGAUAUCAAGGACCAAAAGAGGCAACUAGAUAGAGAAAGAGAUAGGGAUGACAAGGGGAACUAAUAGUGUAUAGGAUUCGUUGUCCUGAUGGUGCUAUUGGGAAUGUGAUUGGAAAGAGUGGAAACAUAAUUUACUCGAUCCGGCAAGAGACAAGAGCAAAGGUCAAUGUGUUGGCCCUGUUUCCUGGUGUUAGAGAUAAAAGUUAUCACAAUUUAUUGCUAUGUUAAAGAGAAAGAGGAUGUUGAAGUUUAUGAUGAAUACAAUUAUAAGGGUCCUGCCCUGUUAGGAUGCACUCCUUAAGGUGAAUGAGGCCAUUACAAAUGCCGUGGGUAUGGCCAAGGCUUUUGACAGGAAGAAUAAAAACAAAAAUAAGGAGUUUUAAGAUUCUUGUUCCUUUUAGACAGUCUGCUAAUAUUAUUGAGAAAUUUAGUACUACCAUUAAGAAGUUGAGAAAAAAGAUAAUUUUAAAUGAAUAGAUUUAGAUAUUUCAUGUAGUUUAUUUACUAAGAUAAUUUUAAAUGAAUAGAAAUUUAGUACUGCCAUUAAGAAAUCGAGUCUUUCGGUGGACAAGAUUUUAGUUAUGGAGUUCUUGCUACAAGCAAACAUGGAGCUAAGACUCAAGGUCUUGAGCAAAGAAGUUAGUCUUGGUAUGUAUGAUGGUUAGUUUUUUUUCUUUUUUUCCUCUGAAAAUUCAUUGUGUCUAAACUAUAGUUGCUGAACCUACAUGUUUUGCAUUGUCUACUUUGUUAAUAUGAGAUAUUUGACAUAUUUUUCUUCUAGCUAAUAUUUCACUGCUUUUUACAUAUUUGUUUUUCACUAAAGUUGUGGAGGUUUUUCUUAUAGGAAUCCUCAUUUAACCAAAUAAUGGAUUUAGGGUGAGCUAAAAGUAUGUCUCGUAGUUAAGAAAGUUAUUUGAUUGUCUCGUGAAUUAUUGGUUAUUUCUUCAUUUCUUUCUAGUUUUGUUUUUCUUCUUUUUAGAUAUGGUGAACUACACUAAAGCAGUUUUACCAUGAAAGGAAGAAGAUCAAAGUCUGUUGCAAGGAAAGCAUCAAGAGGUUCCAGUUUUAACAUAGAGAAACCUUUUAAGAAAGAUGAAGACUCCAUGGAAGACCAUCUCGAUAGCUCUAGCUCACCCAAGACUUUGAACAAAUUCUCUCAGAACAACAGGAAGGUAAGGAAUAUAUUUUUGAAGCUUGACAGACAUUGCCUCAUACAUAGGCUUCUUCCAUAUGCUUUAUUCUACCUGUCUUGUCAUAUUUCCAUAGACUCAACUUUUCAUGCUUAGUGACCUUGCUUUUGCAGAAUUCCAGUGCUUUCCGUCCAUCUAGCCUCACAACACUAGAUAAUCCUUGGAACCAAGGGAAGUGAAAGUUGAUCCUUGGAAACCUUUAAAUUGUUGGGUGAAUGCUACAAAUAGGAGCAAGUCUUCAAAAUUUACCUCACUAGGUUCUGCUGCUAAAUCAGAAGCUCAACUAUCCCAAGACAAUGAAUAGGAGCAAGUCUUCAAAAUUUUCUUUCCAUUCACCGCACUUUACCGUGUUUUAUCUACCAUGUUAGACACAAAAUAUAUAUUGCAAAGUUAGAUUAAAAAAUGCUAGAAAAUUAUAAUUAGAUUAAGUAGUAUAACAAUUGUUGUAUGCAGAGUCAUGUUUUUUAUUUGCACAAUAAUAGAUAUACAUGUUUGCUCUGCUUAUUUUAACUUUAGAUGUAAUCAUACUUGGUGAAUGUCAUUUAUUCGUGUUUUGAUGAAAUAUUUUGGAUUCAAU